UGAGGAAUAUUGGUCAAUGGACGAGAGUCUGAACCAGCCAAGUAGCGUGAAGGAUGAAGGUUCUAUGGAUUGUAAACUUCUUUUAUACGGGAAUAAACGGAUCCACGUGUGGAUUUUUGCAUGUACCGUAUGAAUAAGGAUCGGCUAACUCCGUGCCAGCAGCCGCGGUAAUACGGAGGAUCCGAGCGUUAUCCGGAUUUAUUGGGUUUAAAGGGAGCGUAGAUGGGUUGUUAAGUCAGUUGUGAAAGUUUGCGGCUCAACCGUAAAAUUGCAAUUGAUACUGGCAGUCUUGAGUACAGUUGAGGUAGGCGGAAUUCGUGGUGUAGCGGUGAAAUGCUUAGAUAUCACGAAGAACUCCGAUUGCGAAGGCAGCUUACUAACCUGUAACUGACAUUGAUGCUCGAAAGUGUGGGUAUCAAACAGGAUUAGAUACCCUGGUAGUCCACACGGUAAACGAUGAAUACUCGCUGUAGGCGAUAUACGGUCUGCGGCCAAGCGAAAGCAUUAAGUAUUCCACCUGGGGAGUACGCCGGCAACGGUGAAACUCAAAGGAAUUGACGGGGGCCCGCACAAGCGGAGGAACAUGUGGUUUAAUUCGAUGAUACGCGAGGAACCUUACCCGGGCUUAAAUUGCAACCGAAUAUGGCGGAAACGCUAUAGCUAGCAAUAGCGGUUGUGAAGGUGCUGCAUGGUUGUCGUCAGCUCGUGCCGUGAGGUGUCGGCUUAAGUGCCAUAACGAGCGCAACCCUUGCCGAUAGUUACUAACAGGUUAUGCUGAGGACUCUGUCGGGACUGCCAUCGUAAGAUGUGAGGAAGGUGGGGAUGACGUCAAAUCAGCACGGCCCUUACGUCCGGGGCUACACACGUGUUACAAUGGGGGGUACAGAGGGCUGCUACCACGCAAGUGGAUGCCAAUCCCAAAAACCUCUCUCAGUUCGGAUUGAAGUCUGCAACCCGACUUCAUGAAGCUGGAUUCGCUAGUAAUCGCGCAUCAGCCACGGCGCGGUGAAUACGUUCCC
This 1019-nucleotide ribosomal RNA is filed under the name uncultured bacterium. RNAcentral describes it as "bacterial SSU rRNA". It matches the Rfam family "Bacterial small subunit ribosomal RNA", at positions 355 to 1375 of the family's 1533-position model. The record is from RNAcentral.